CCCUGCGCGUUCACGCUCUAGUGGUGAGAUUGGAGGACGGGGAAGCGAUAGUUGUGACACCGAGGGGCAAAUAACUCAUCGCUUCCAAUGAAUAACUACCCCUUCAGCUCGACCGCCAGCUGACGCACUGCCCUGCGCGAACCCACGCGGACGGAGGAGCGACGCGGCGCGAUUGUGUGAGGAGUAUCCAGUGGCGCCGGCGGAAGCAGCUCUGGCCGUUCCUCUGCUCCAGUAUGGCUCAGCCGAGCUCGUGUGCUCAGAGCAGUAACGGUGUGGCCGACGAGUCUCCCAACAUGCUGGUCUACAGGAAAAUGGAAGACAUCAUCGCUCGCAUGCAGGACGAGAAGAAUGGGAUUCCUAUC
Molecule: long non-coding RNA, 362 nt
Organism: Sinocyclocheilus anshuiensis
Lineage: Eukaryota; Metazoa; Chordata; Actinopteri; Cypriniformes; Cyprinidae
Exons: 3
Source: RefSeq, a predicted model, not a curated record